Molecule: ribosomal RNA, 255 nt
Filed under: uncultured bacterium
Lineage: Bacteria
Description: partial 16S ribosomal RNA
Rfam family: Bacterial small subunit ribosomal RNA
Source: RNAcentral
UACGUAGGGUGCAGGCGUUAAUCGGAAUUACUGGGCGUAAAGCGUGCGCAGGCGGCUCCUUAAGUCAGAUGUGAAAUCCCCGGGCUUAACCUGGGAACUGCGUUUGAAACUGAGGAGCUCGAGUGUGGAAGAGGGGGGUGGAAUUCCAGGUGUAGCAGUGAAAAUGCGUAGAGAUCUGGAGGAACACCGAUGGCGAAGGCAGCCCCCUGGGCUAACACUGACGCUCCAUGCACGAAAGCGUGGGGAGCAAACAGG